RNAcentral lists this unclassified non-coding RNA (258 nucleotides) under fungal sp. RNAcentral's name for it is "partial internal transcribed spacer region". The stretch from base 1 to 46 matches the Rfam family "Eukaryotic small subunit ribosomal RNA", at positions 1786 to 1831 of the family's 1831-position model. The record is from RNAcentral. Lineage: Eukaryota; Fungi.
AAGUCGUAACAAGGUAACCGUAGGUGAACCUGCGGUUGGAUCAUUAAAAAAUUCAACUAAGAGUGAGUUCUCUAACGAGUCUCACUUCUUAAACACAUUGUGAACCGUUAUUGUCUCUGGUGGGUUAAAAGGCUGUCUUAAUGGCAGUUGGUUAACCUCGGUUAACUACCCACCGCCUUAACAUUUUAAUCUUUAAUUGGACUACUUGUUUAAAUAUUAAAUUUAAAACAACUUUUGGCAACGGAUCUCUUGGCUCUC